AUACGUAGGGAGCAAGCGUUGUCCGGAUUUACUGGGUGUGGAGGGUGCGUAGGCGGGUUAUCAAGUUGGGUGUGAAACCUCCGUGCUUAACACGGAGCCUGCAUUCAAAACUGGUAAUCUUGAGUGAGGUAGAGGUAGAUGGAAUUCCCGGUGUAGCGGUGAAAUGCGUAGAGAUCGGGAGGAACACCAGUGGCGAAGGCGGUCUACUGGGCCUUAACUGACGCUGAGGCACGAAAGCAUGGGUAGCAAACAGGAUUAGAUACCCUGGUAGUCCAUGCUGUAAACGAUGAUUGCUAGGUGUGGGUGGACUGACCCCAUCCGUGCCGGAGUCAACACAAUAAGCAAUCCACCUGGGGAGUACGGCCGCAAGGUUAAA
This 376-nucleotide ribosomal RNA is filed under the name uncultured bacterium. RNAcentral's name for it is "bacterial SSU rRNA". It matches the Rfam family "Bacterial small subunit ribosomal RNA", at positions 523 to 898 of the family's 1533-position model. The record is from RNAcentral.